CUCGGUAUUGAGAGGAAGAUUCAGGAGGUCCAUAUGCAUCAACACCCGAAUGAACUCCUUGUGGAACAAGAGGAGGAGGCAAGGAGGAACCAGGAACAUCAUAAGUCGGCUGCGUAACACGAGAAGAAGUUGUUGGUCAAGUCUUAACAGACGAAUGAGCCACAUUCACAGAAAAAGUUUCAGUAAUCUGAGGAUUAAUCCGCUCUAAGUAAGUUUCAUGAGUCAUGAGCAAGGAUUCAAGCUGAACAAAUUAGCACGGUUCUGUUCUAUUGUUUAUCGAAGUAACAAAAGACUCAAUCAGAAGGAAGUCCCUCCAUCACUAAUCGAAUUUGUUCUCUUCCAAAAAUGACUUCACUAAUGGCAGCCAAUGAGUGAACAAGCGCUUUGAUGCGAGAAACAAACUCAGAAACAAAUUGAGUGCCCUUCUUCAAAUUACCAAGUUCCGAAAGCAACAGUUGACUCCUAGCAUGAAUCAGCGAGUCAAAAAAUGUGUGAAUUCCAUCCCAAAUAUGCCAUGCAUGACGAAGACCUAUAACUUGGGAUUGAACAAACUCCAAUAGUGAUUGCAACAACCAUGACAUAAGGUGCUGGUCCUGUUCUUCCCACUAAAGAAAAGCAUGAUUCAGAUGACCAGCAUCACGAUCUUCCUCAGAUAAAAACUAUAAAGGCACUUGUAGAUUAACCACAAACCAUUCAAGACGAUGAGAGGCAAUAACCGCUUCAAUUUGUUGCUUCCAAAAAAAAUAAUUUUUCUCACACAACUUUCCCAAGAUUACUUGAGUAAAGGAAAUCGUUGACGGAGGAAUAACCGGCGAUGGAAGAGGCGACGACAUAGAUGUAUAAUCCUCCAUGAAAACAGAAUCAAUAACAACAAAUCAACAAGCAACUCAGCGACAAUCAGCGACGAAACAGCGAAAACCACAAUCCGAAGGAUGAAAGAUUAAAUCGCAAACCACAAACAUCAAUGAAGGUGCAAAUCAGUGGAGAAGAAGAGCAAUCUGAAACCCUAGGCCACAAAAUCAGUGAUGAAGAACGAAGAUUCCUUGAUUAUCGCAGAUCCACCACAAAACCGCAACAAGUAAAUUAAAACCUCAACGAAUCAACAAUGAGAAAGGAGAUUCUACGAUGAAAUGCAAAUCACAAAUCAGCGAAUCCACCACGAACAGCGACGAUUUUAUUAUUGAUGUAUUUAAUAUUCAUUUAGUUCACUCUAUACUUUGCAAAUUUUGUUUAAUUAUUUCUUAGAUUUUUGUAAAUAAGUUGAAAAACCACGGAACCAAACUUAACCAUUAAUGAACGGUUCAGUUCGGUUCCUAAAUAAAAUUUGUGAUUAAUCAAGUAAAAUCAAAUCAUAUAUUUAUAUUCGGUUCGAUCACUAAAUUGCAUAAAAAACCAAACAGAACUUUUACAUCCCUACAGUUGCCUAGCUGAAUUGCAUCUGCAACCAGACUAAAUCGAGGUCGAACAAUGCAACCCGCUGAACCGCCCAGGGAAACCCAUUGGCCACUGCUAUAGCAGUCGGUCAAUUAUACCUGUUAGGAACAUAUUUUACUAUGAUUAUCACCUAAAUAUAUUUACUAUCUAUUAAUUAGGAUCCAGGAUCGGUCCUCACAUUUUCUGGGCUCAUGGAAAAUAGAAAUGGGACCCUUAAUUUAUGGAAAACUUCUAAAUAUAUCAAAUGCUAAUAUUUGUAGAAAAAAAUUAAUAUAUUACAAACCUCUGUAGUAUUUACAUGAUACCAUUCCCAAAAUAAGUAUUAGCAAAAAAUGGAAAAGAAUAUUAAAAUGAUAAUUGAUAUAUAAGGAAGCCACUACCAUUUUUACGUGAUAUCAUUAUCCACGAAUUGGUCACACGAUAAAGGCAGAAUUUCUUUAAAAAAUAAAACAUAGAGCUUCAUGUCGUAGAUAUAAUGAUUAUGAGAUCAGAGUACAUGGUGAAGGAGGAUAAUUUUUAUGUUGACUUGAGCUUUACCCUCACAAAGGGUUGGGUUCCAACUCCUUGGCUAAUAUGGAGAUUUCCUGAAAACAGCAAUCACAUUAAAACCAGAAAUAAAAAUGCAUGUACGAAGAAAAAAGAUGGCAGAGGGAAGUGCAUAACACAGCAACAGCAGCAACAUUUUUCUGUUACUGGAAACGUGAAUGACACAACUAAACAGCAGCAAGCCAGCAACAGAAACAGGAACAAUCGAACAAUGUUGGCAUAUGGGUAAUAGUCAAUAGCCAUUAGGGAUUAGGAGGUAUGGGCUUGACACAUGCUGCGCUCUUAGGGUUAGUUUGAGAAUUAGAUUUUGGAGAGGAAGAAAGAGAAAGAGAAGGCUUGGGAGCCAUGAAAUACACUUGUGAGAUGACUCCCAAGCCUUCCUUUUCCCUUCAUUCCUCUCCAAAAUCUAACUCCCAAACUAACCCUUAGAGUCGGCCCAGCUACGAAUACAUGAGAGCACAUAUGCUGUCCACAGAGUGUAUCACUACUGCUUGUAAUUGAUUACAAAAAAUGUAUUUAAAUGAAUUUUUUUUAAUAAUUAAUUAUUUUUCUGACUAAUCACAAGCAGUGGUACAUGAAGUGGUACACUUUUUUGGGACAGAAGAUGUCCACCCCUAAUACAUGUAUAAUUUGACUACUUAGUCUGUAGCUUAACUGAUGAGUUGGUGGCCGAACUAAGAAACCAGUAAUCUAGUACUCCUAGAUAACCAGUAUAGUUUUGAAUAACAUUUAUAUUUUAAGAAGUGGCUUGGAAACAAAGAAAAAGGGAAGGUGCAAAAUGAACCAACCAUGAUGCCAUGGCUUAAUACACUAUUUGAUAUGAUUGGAACAAAUCAAUAUAAAUUCUUUAGUUUAAUAUAUACACUUCCUAAUUCCAGCAACUGUAAUUGUUUCUACAGCUGACAGAAUAAAAGUAAAGAGAAACAACACCUCCAUGAGCCAUUUGAAGUUCACUGUAUGCAAAGAAUGUUGUUAUAAACAGGAUAAUAUUCAUCCAAUUGAAGUUGGUCUAAGAUCUGUUGUGUAGCCCACAGAUAAGAAGAAUGGCCUUCUAUUCGAUCUGUCACGUCAAUCUGCAAAUGGAAAUACUCAAAAUUUUAUGAAUGAAAGCACAAGACAAACAUCUUAAACAUUUAUAAGUUAUCAAAUAGGAUGGAGAAAUAUCUUACAUUUUGGAUCCCAGGAAUAUCGAUUGGUUGGAUUCCAGCCAAUCCUUUUGUAAGUAGACUGUUCAAAAAUAAAAGAAAGAAAUUAGUUUUUACUCUGUCUAUUUAAAAUAAGGUUAAAUUAUACUCCAAACCUUUAGGCUUAAUUAUGUUUUUUUAUCCUUGAAAGUUGACUGAGUUAUGGUUUAGACACUAAAACUUAAGUGCUCGGUAUUGAGAGGAAGAUUCAGGAGGUCCAUAUGCAUCAACACCCGAAUGAACUCCUUGUGGAACAAGAGGAGGAGGCAAGGAGGAACCAGGAACAUCAUAAGUCGGCUGCGUAACACGAGAAGAAGUUGUUGGUCAAGUCUUAACAGACGAAUGAGCCACAUUCACAGAAAAAGUUUCAGUAAUCUGAGGAUUAAUCCGCUCUAAGUAAGUUUCAUGAGUCAUGAGCAAGGAUUCAAGCUGAACAAAUUAGCACGGUUCUGUUCUAUUGUUUAUCGAAGUAACAAAAGACUCAAUCAGAAGGAAGUCCCUCCAUCACUAAUCGAAUUUGUUCUCUUCCAAAAAUGACUUCACUAAUGGCAGCCAAUGAGUGAACAAGCGCUUUGAUGCGAGAAACAAACUCAGAAACAAAUUGAGUGCCCUUCUUCAAAUUACCAAGUUCCGAAAGCAACAGUUGACUCCUAGCAUGAAUCAGCGAGUCAAAAAAUGUGUGAAUUCCAUCCCAAAUAUGCCAUGCAUGACGAAGACCUAUAACUUGGGAUUGAACAAACUCCAAUAGUGAUUGCAACAACCAUGACAUAAGGUGCUGGUCCUGUUCUUCCCACUAAAGAAAAGCAUGAUUCAGA
Molecule: long non-coding RNA, 3979 nt
Filed under: Lupinus angustifolius (narrow-leaved blue lupine)
Lineage: Eukaryota; Viridiplantae; Streptophyta; Magnoliopsida; Fabales; Fabaceae
Description: long non-coding RNA (LANG_LNC002612)
Source: RNAcentral